Long non-coding RNA from Corvus moneduloides (New Caledonian crow), 1014 nucleotides. NCBI's taxonomy places the organism in Eukaryota, Metazoa, Chordata, Aves, Passeriformes, Corvidae. The record is from Ensembl.
AUGCAGAUAUGUUUUGCUCCGGGUUCUGACAUUCCUGGGAGCUUAGAAAAGGUGCCUUCAACCUGCCAGCCCUCGCUGCCUCCUGCCAGUGUUGGCACUGGUGCUGCCACGCACGUGCUGCUUUGUUUGCCCAGAGCAUGUGGAGGAGCUGCCCCGUGGGUCACUGGAGCUGUGCUGGCUGCUCCCACGUCUCUCUGGACCCUGCCCAGGUCUCAGCCUGACCAACAACUUCGUUGUUGCUGGAGGACUCCCCACAAAGGGUACAGCUCCCACCCGUUUGUUUCCUUCAGGCCGAGCUUGGCGCAUCGCUCCUGCUUCCCUCGCCGAGCACAUCAGCCACCUGCCUUCGUUUGGACAAGCCAAGGAACGAGGCUCUCCGGGCUGGAGCGUGCCAGGCUGGAAUGUGCCACCCACAGGGACAGCUUGGCACAAGCUGCAACGGGGAAGCACGUUUUGAACACGUCAAGCAAGUUCAUGAGCCUUUGGUGGCAUCAAACCCCGCGCAGUGGAGCCAGGAUGCAGCCCAGCAGGGCACAACUACGUAAGGACUUGAGCGUUCCCUCCCCAAAGUGUGGCCAAAGGGCUCAGGAAAUUUUGGAUCUCUUUGGAGCAGGGGGGCCCACACACACCAAUUGGGUUUACAACGCAUUUGACAGCUUUGCAGGACUCAAUUACAGAGGAAUUUACCCUAAAGAGACCCCUGAUGAAGGAAAUCCUGGGGUGGGUGAGAUGGCCACAGCCACGUUUUGCAAAGGAUUCAUGGGGGCAGGGAGAAGAGAGGUUGCUUUGCACCACAUCCCACCAGGAUUCACCCAUGGGGGCUGCACAUUCCAGGUCCUCCUGUGCUGGGAGAAAGGGGGUCUCUGUCCAGCCUUUUUCCCCUCAUUUACCUUUAGGGAGCACCUGGAGCAGCCCCUGCCAGCAGUCCCAGGGAAUGUGGGCUUUGCUCUCCAAGAGCAUCCCUUUCCCAUGGCACGUGCUCACCUACUGCUGGUAGAGGCAGAACAAGCCUGA